GAAUAAAGACCUGCUGAAAUCUGGAGACCUCAGUCUGACCCUGAAACACCCCACAGAGAGAGACACACAAGUCUACACCUGCACCGUCUACAGCCAAGAGGGAAACAUCGUGUUUAAGAAAGCAGUGGGCAAUCUGAGAGUCAAAGUUCUUACCCUCCCCGACUAAAUCGGUUUCAGUUAUGUACUGAAAUAUAAGAAUGGACAUUAGAGGCUUCUUUCAAAGAAAAAACUCAGCACAAAGAGGGAGAGAGAGGAGCAGAGAUUGAGAUGGAGAAUGAGGACAGAACAGAGAUGAACAAGAGCAGUUUCGGGAAAACACACCUCAACUCCCACAAAGUGAGAAGAAUGCUUCUUGUGCCCGUGAUGAUACAAACAUAUGCUACGGGGUUGCCCUGUGCUGCAUGCAUGGUCUCAUACAAACCUAUGGCUAACCAAAGUAAACACCAGAGUGACAGAUUUUCCCAGCAUGCCCUGGGUGUGGUGGUGGAGGUGAAUGAGGGGGAAAGAUCUGUCCUGCUGCCCUGUCAGUACUUUGGGUUUAUACCUGAGAAUCCCACAGUGAUGUGGACUCGCAGUGAUCUCCAUCCCAAAUCUGUCCAUGUGAGACAAGACGAAACAGACGAUCUCAGAGGACAAAACCAGCGUUACAGUGGGCGCACAUCAAUGAGACCUGAUGCUCUGGACGCUGGAGACUUCAGCCUCACUCUGACAAAACCAACAAAGACUGACAGCAGCAUCUACACCUGCUCCAUCAGUGAUGGGAGAGAAGAACGGAGACUGAGAGAUAUCCAGCUGCAGGUCAAAGCCUUGCCUACUUUACAGUUCUUGGAACCCAUCAACACCAGUGUUCACUUGAUAGACAUAUCACCACACAUUGACGGGCUGAAAAAUGCGAUGGAAGAGUACAAGAGUACGAUAAAAGAGCUCAGUGGCUGUUCAAAAGCUACUGUCGCCGUGGGAGGGCUUAUUGCGACGUUGAUUGUGAUCGUUCUAGGGUUUAUGUAUAUAUGAUCGCCACUUGGCUUGUAUGUGUUUAUGUCAAGUGUGGAAAUAAAAGAAAAUAUAUCAUUGCUUACAUGGCUUUUAUUAGUGCCACUUUAUUAAAACUUUUAUUAAAUGUGGAGUUGUAAUUAUUUUUAUACAUAAAUUUAAAAUGCGCUCAUAAAGAGUUGGCGCUCAGUCCUCUUAAGGUCCUAAGCUUCGUCUGGUGUGAAUGUCCAGACGAUAUAUUGUGUAAGGUGACUUAGAGCGCAAGAAGGCCAAUGCAAGCACGCUUACAGACACAAAUAAGUUCUAGGUCAGAAGUGAGAGAUACAUUUAGCUUGUAACUGCAUUUGUGCUUGCAUAGCAACUGUUGAUGCAGGACGUGUUAAAGAUAAGCAUGAAAAGAACAAGUCAACGAGAAACAUCUGGAGGGUGAGACGGUUGAAACAAACAGCCAUGUAUGGUAAAAAGGUUGCAGAUAAUGGAAACUUGUCUAACUGUCAUUAACUGUAACUGAUGCAUAUUAUCUGCUUUGCUGACGCAAGAAGGGGCUAAACCCUGACAUAUCAAAACCAUUUUGAAGCUUUUUAGCGGAGAUCUACGCUGAUGAUGCUCCCCAUGCGUGUGUUCAAUAAAAUCAUUGUUUGACUGAACUCAUCUGGACCAGUGUCAAUGGAAAAUUGUACUUCGUAGUCAGUAUAAUCUUUUAAUGAUAUAAGUUUGCAUAUAGUAGAAUACUGCAUGUAAUCAUUUGUGUUUAGAAGUAUAUAGCUGGUGGCAUAUUGAAAGAAUGUCUCAUCCUAGGAGGUCUGUAACAUUCCAGGGUGUUCUGGCAUUCACCCCCACAUCCUACGAGCAUGGGAGAGGUCGUACCUUGUCUUAUUGUUUUACGGUAGGAUUAACGUAGCUAUGUCAGUUUUAGUCUAAGUGCCUUUUUACAUAUAGAUGAACUGUUGGACUUUCCAGACCAGCAGGUUAAGGGAAGUCAUUUAUGGGGUCACACUCUGACACACACACACACACACACACACACACACACACACACACACACACACACACACACACACACACACACACCAAUGUAAGGAACAAACGCUCACUGGAGUUUAUAAAUAAAGACCAGGGCAGUCCUCAGUGCGAGUCUCAGUUCUGGAGGCUGCCCUUGCUAGCAAGAAAUUCUGUGUUUCUCUUCUCUGAUUCUCUACUGAAGAAGUAUUUUAGAAUAUAUCUCUUAACAACCAGUUUUUGUUUGUUUUCAUCCUCAAUAUAAAAGAAUCGGGACACAAGGCACACCUUACCGUUUUUUGUUGUGUGUGUCUUGCAUUGUCUGUACGUAUUACUAUUUACUCCUGUGCAUGUCCCUAC
This is a long non-coding RNA of Astatotilapia calliptera (eastern happy), 2349 nucleotides long. NCBI's taxonomy places the organism in Eukaryota, Metazoa, Chordata, Actinopteri, Cichliformes, Cichlidae. The record is from Ensembl.